ACGAAAAAGUACUAAUCAAAUUAAAUAAAAUAGGUAGAAACAAAAGAAUAGCGAAGAAGAAGCAAAUGCGCUUCACGCUAAUUCCAAGUACCAACACAAACAAAUUCAAUGUUUGGUGAAGCAACUUGCUUAGUGGCGGACGGGUGAGUAACGCGUGAAUAAUCCUGCCCCAUACAGGGGGAUAGCCUACGGGAAACCGGGAUUAAAACCGCAUAACACUUUAUCACCGCAUGGUGAUGAAGUCAAAUCGAUUAAGAGGUAUGGGAUGAGUUCGCGUCUGAUUAGCUAGUUGGCGGGGUAAAGGCCCACCAAGGCGACGAUCAGUAGCCGGCCUGGAGAGGGUGACCGGCCACACUGGAACUGAGACACGGUCCAGACUCCUACGGGAGGCAGCAGUGGGGAAUAUUGCACAAUGGGGGAAACCCUGAUGCAGCGACGCCGCGUGAGUGAAGAAGGUCUUCGGAUCGUAAAACUCUGUCCUUGGUGACGAAGGAAGUGACGGUAACCAAGGAGGAAGCCCCGGCUAACUACGUG
This 534-nucleotide ribosomal RNA is filed under the name uncultured bacterium. RNAcentral describes it as "bacterial SSU rRNA". It matches the Rfam family "Bacterial small subunit ribosomal RNA", at positions 66 to 507 of the family's 1533-position model. The record is from RNAcentral.